AUGCUCUGGUAAUUGGAAUGAGAACUAAUUAACCCGUUAACGAGUAACCAUCAGAGGCAAGUCUGUGCCAGCAGCCGCGGUAAUUCCAGCUCUGAUAGCGUAUAUUAAAGUUGUUGCAGUUAAAAAGCUCGUAGUUGGAUUUUAGAGUAUAUUGAUAUGGUCUCUUGUGAUAAACUUGUUGUACUGUGUUAAUUACUCUUUCCUACUGGUUACUCGACUCUGUUCUUUAUUGCAUGGAGUAGUGUCGCAAGGCAUCGCUUAGUAUUUUAUUGCUUUUAGAUGUAGUAAUUGGGUAAAACUGGUUAUGAAACCUAAGGGAUCACAGUAAAGUAUUAAGUGGGGUUCCAGUUCAUUUACUUUGAGUAAAUUAGAGUGUUCAAAGCAGCCUGUAUGGGCAUUGAAUAGAUUAGCAUGGGAUAAUAGAAUAGGAUUCUUGUCUAUUUAUUGGUUUAUAGAUUUAGAAUAAUGAUU
Molecule: ribosomal RNA, 471 nt
Filed under: uncultured eukaryote
Lineage: Eukaryota
Description: bacterial SSU rRNA
Rfam family: Eukaryotic small subunit ribosomal RNA
Source: RNAcentral